ACCACUGCUUUUUCUUAGAAGACUCUAAGAAGGCCCUAAAUCUGUACUAGGUUUAGGGCUUUUUUCUU
This 68-nucleotide small RNA is filed under the name Vibrio cholerae O1 biovar El Tor str. N16961. Lineage: Bacteria; Pseudomonadati; Pseudomonadota; Gammaproteobacteria; Vibrionales; Vibrionaceae. The record is from RNAcentral.